This 74-nucleotide transfer RNA is filed under the name Staphylococcus aureus. RNAcentral describes it as "tRNA-Pro-TGG". The stretch from base 14 to 74 matches the Rfam family "tRNA", at positions 1 to 59 of the family's 71-position model. Rfam says of the family: Transfer RNA (tRNA) molecules are approximately 80 nucleotides in length. Lineage: Bacteria; Bacillati; Bacillota; Bacilli; Caryophanales; Staphylococcaceae. The record is from RNAcentral.
CAAAUGACAAAUCGGAGAAUUAGCUCAGCUGGGAGAGCAUCUGCCUUACAAGCAGAGGGUCGGCGGUUCGAACC